RNAcentral lists this ribosomal RNA (253 nucleotides) under uncultured bacterium. Its description in RNAcentral is "partial 16S ribosomal RNA". It matches the Rfam family "Bacterial small subunit ribosomal RNA", at positions 524 to 776 of the family's 1533-position model. The record is from RNAcentral.
UACGGGGGGGGCAAGCGUUGUUCGGAAUUACUGGGCGUAAAGGGCUCGUAGGCGGCCAACUAAGUCCGACGUGAAAUCCCAAGGCUUAACCUUGGAACUGCGUCGGAUACUGGAUGGCUUGAAUUCGGGAGAGGGAUGCGGAAUUCCAGGUGUAGCGGUGAAAUGCGUAGAUAUCUGGAGGAACACCGGUGGCGAAGGCGGUUCUCUGGGCCUGUACUGACGCUGAGGAGCGAAAGCGUGGGGAGCGAACAGG